Molecule: long non-coding RNA, 2075 nt
Filed under: Nicotiana benthamiana
Lineage: Eukaryota; Viridiplantae; Streptophyta; Magnoliopsida; Solanales; Solanaceae
Description: long non-coding RNA (NBEN_LNC039902)
Source: RNAcentral
GAGUAGUCCAAUUACCCAAUCCUCUAUCUGUUCAAAUUCAAAUUAAUAGGACAUUGGUUAUUCUGAUUCCAAUUCAAUGCCCACAUUAUUGUAUACAUUACUCUACUGAUGGUUUCACUGAACAUUCAAACCAACAUUACCAAAGUUGUUUACCAUACCAGGACCAAAGCAGGAGUUUGUCAUAUUAAUUCGACUCAACUUCCAAUUCUAAGCUACAACUACCACAUGAGUCCAAUAACACUUCAUUGAAGUUAAAGGUUUACAAGGGAUGAAGUCAAAUCCAAAGUUUAUCAGUUCGGCUAAUUCAAAUGCAGUUUUCAAUUCAAUAUUGUCCAAACUGUGAAUCUAGCUACAAUUAAUAAAUAACUAAGUUAUAUGUUAACAGUUAAUUCACAAUUCUACAUGAACUCAGAUGAACAAUGAACAAUUCUUCAUUAUGGAUUCCACAGGUGAUUUAUAUAAGUGAGUCAUACUUCCAUAUCAAAGGACAAUGAAAAUGUACCUGGAGAUGUGAAAUAUAAGAAUAAGAAGAGAAAAUCAAUAAUUAAUAACAGCCAAUAUCUAGCAAUCAACAAAUAGCAAUAGCAGAUGUGAUUUAGAACAAAAAAUUGAUUCACAAAAUCCAGGAAUACCACAGCAAUCAAAAACCCAGUAAACCAAAAACUGAUUUGUUUGAACUGAAAAAUCACUCGAAAUCAAACCAUGAAUAAUUCUUAACUUCAGCUAGCAGAAUUUUAUCUAAAAUGUAAAUCAACUAACUAAAACUAGAAAUCAUCUAAGAGAUUGAACGGAACAAUACCGUUUUUGUAGUUUUCUCCAAUUUUUCUAAUUUUGUUUGGUUUUUUGAAGAUCUAGGAAAUCUGAAAUUCGAAAUCAAAAUUGAAAAUUAAUUGAAUAACUUCAGAUCUGUGAAAAGUUAGAGAGGUUUUUGGGGGGAACUUUUUGGAGGUUCUAAACUUGUGUAAUAAUACAGAAUGGCAUGCCUUUAUAUCGGCAGGAAAUGGGUGGGAAAGUUCUAGAACUCAACCCCCUAGAUGAAACCUGCUCUCUCCUCACAUGACCUCCCCCGGACUUAUUUUCUAUAAAUGAAAUUAUUCCCUCUGUUUUAUUCCCCAAACUACCCCCAAAGUUCCUUAUGUUUGCCCUGAACCUAUGGGCUGAAUUAAAACAUAACUAUGUCUACACUAAUAGCCCGAUUUCAUAAUUUCAUGUCAUCAAUCAACCAAGCCUUAAGGUCAGAAUAAGGCUAUUCGAGCCAACAAAAAAAAUAGUAAAAGAAUUCAAAAACAAAAAUCAAAAUUCCCUGGCUUCAAACUAUUUAGUUAUUGACCAAUAUUAAAUGACAAUAUUAAAGAAUAAACAACAAACGAUUACUACCAAUUUGAUCAAACAACAAUCACUUACUAUCAAUUUGAACUAACCUAAGGAAUUCAGACUAAGGGAAGCAAAGGAGGGGAACAGAACUUGACUAUAGAACAGAAAGAAAAAAUAAGAAGAAGAUUGAAUUGAAACAAUCAAAAGAAGAAAUAAAAUAAAUGAAAGAAAGAGAGACUCAUCAUCUUGACUCGAACAUCAAACCUUUGAACUCGAACUUGUUAACCACUCGAUUGACUUCCAAUACGGCUUCUAGAUAAUAUUAUAUGUUCAUUUUUAUAAAACAAACAUGUAACAUUAUUUGGAAUCGCAUGAAAAUCGAUGUUAUUGAAACCCUAGAUCCAAGACAUGAAGAUAUUAAGGCAGAUUUGAAGGGUUUUGGGUUGGGAUUUGUGUAACGGAAAUCAGGGAGAUCUUAUGGUAUGAAUUUAGGCAGUUUGGACAUGGUAGGGUUUCAAGCCAGAACUUAAAACUAAUAUUCGAAGAAUUCGACUUUGAUUUGAGGGAAACCAUUUGGACAUUAGGAAUGAGGGUGUUGCGGCGGAUUGGCGAUAGCGCCACCAUCACAGGCGGUUGGGAAAUUAGGGUUGCUGGGGCUAGGGUUUUCCAGAAGAAGGCUAAUGGGAGAGAUGGGGGGGAUGAAGGGUUCAGACUUAUAUAUACUGGUUUAACCCAACUACGAACCGUUUUAUCAAAAGAAC